UUAAGCGACUAAGCGUACACGGUGGAUGCCCUGGCAGUCAGAGGCGAUGAAGGACGUGCUAAUCUGCGAAAAGCGCCGGCGAGGUGAUAUGAACCUUUGACCCGGCGAUGUCCGAAUGGGGAAACCCAGUGCAAUCCGUUGCACUAUCGUUAACUGAAUACAUAGGUUAACGAGGCGAACCGGGGGAACUGAAACAUCUAAGUACCCCGAGGAAAAGAAAUCAACCGAGAUUCCCCCAGUAGCGGCGAGCGAACGGGGAGCAGCCCGGAGUCUGAAUCAGCUUGUGUGUUAGUGGAACGGUCUGGAAAGUCCGACGGUACAGGGUGAUAGUCCCGUACACGAAAGCACACUUGCUGUGAACUCGAAGAGUAGGGCGGGACACGUGGUAUCCUGUCUGAAUAUGGGGGGACCAUCCUCCAAGGCUAAAUACUCCUGACUGACCGAUAGUGAACCAGUACCGUGAGGGAAAGGCGAAAAGAACCCCGGCGAGGGGAGUGAAAAAGAACCUGAAACCGUGUACGUACAAGCAGUGGGAGCCUCUUUAUGGGGUGACUGCGUACCUUUUGUAUAAUGGGUCAGCGACUUAUAUUCUGUAGCAAGGUUAACCGUAUAGGGGAGCCGAAGGGAAACCGAGUCUUAACUGGGCGUUAAGUUGCAGGGUAUAGACCCGAAACCCGGUGAUCUAGCCAUGGGCAGGUUGAAGGUUGGGUAACACUAACUGGAGGACCGAACCGACUAAUGUUGAAAAAUUAGCGGAUGACCUGUGGCUGGGGGUGAAAGGCCAAUCAAACCGGGAGAUAGCUGGUUCUCCCCGAAAGCUAUUUAGGUAGCGCCUCGUGAACUCAUCUUCGGGGGUAGAGCACUGUUUCGGCUAGGGGGCCAUCCCGGCUUACCAACCCGAUGCAAACUACGAAUACCGAAGAAUGUUAUCACGGGAGACACACGGCGGGUGCUAACGUCCGUCGUGAAGAGGGAAACAACCCAGACCGCCAGCUAAGGUCCCAAAGUCAUGGUUAAGUGGGAAACGAUGUGGGAAGGCACAGACAGCCAGGAUGUUGGCUUAGAAGCAGCCAUCAUUUAAAGAAAGCGUAAUAGCUCACUGGUCGAGUCGGCCUGCGCGGAAGAUGUAACGGGGCUAAACCAUGCACCGAAGCUGCGGCAGCGACGCUUAUGCGUUGUUGGGUAGGGGAGCGUUCUGUAAGCCGUUGAAGGUGUGCUGUGAGGCAUGCUGGAGGUAUCAGAAGUGCGAAUGCUGACAUAAGUAACGAUAAAGCGGGUGAAAAGCCCGCUCGCCGGAAGACCAAGGGUUCCUGUCCAACGUUAAUCGGGGCAGGGUGAGUCGACCCCUAAGGCGAGGCCGAAAGGCGUAGUCGAUGGGAAACAGGUUAAUAUUCCUGUACUUGGUGUUACUGCGAAGGGGGGACGGAGAAGGCUAUGUCAGCCGGGCGACGGUUGUCCCGGUUUAAGCAUGUAGGCGGAGGUUCCAGGUAAAUCCGGUACCUUAUUAACGCUGAGGUGUGAUGACGAGGCACUACGGUGCUGAAGUGAUAAAUGCCCUGCUUCCAGGAAAAGCCUCUAAGCAUCAGGUAACACGAAAUCGUACCCCAAACCGACACAGGUGGUCAGGUAGAGAAUACCAAGGCGCUUGAGAGAACUCGGGUGAAGGAACUAGGCAAAAUGGUGCCGUAACUUCGGGAGAAGGCACGCUGAUAUGUAGGUGAAGUCCCUGCGGACGGAGCUGAAAUCAGUCGAAGAUACCAGCUGGCUGCAACUGUUUAUUAAAAACACAGCACUGUGCAAACACGAAAGUGGACGUAUACGGUGUGACGCCUGCCCGGUGCCGGAAGGUUAAUUGAUGGGGUUAGCGGCAACGCGAAGCUCUUGAUCGAAGCCCCGGUAAACGGCGGCCGUAACUAUAACGGUCCUAAGGUAGCGAAAUUCCUUGUCGGGUAAGUUCCGACCUGCACGAAUGGCGUAAUGAUGGCCAGGCUGUCUCCACCCGAGACUCAGUGAAAUUGAACUCGCUGUGAAGAUGCAGUGUACCCGCGGCAAGACGGAAAGACCCCGUGAACCUUUACUAUAGCUUGACACUGAACACUGGUCCUUGAUGUGUAGGAUAGGUGGGAGGCUUUGAAGCGUGGACGCCAGUCUGCGUGGAGCCAACCUUGAAAUACCACCCUUUAAUGGCUGGUGUUCUAACGUAGACCCGUAAUCCGGGUUGCGGACAGUGUCUGGUGGGUAGUUUGACUGGGGCGGUCUCCUCCCAAAGAGUAACGGAGGAGCACGAAGGUUGGCUAAUCCUGGUCGGACAUCAGGAGGUUAGUGCAAUGGCAUAAGCCAGCUUGACUGCGAGCGUGACGGCGCGAGCAGGUGCGAAAGCAGGUCAUAGUGAUCCGGUGGUUCUGAAUGGAAGGGCCAUCGCUCAACGGAUAAAAGGUACUCCGGGGAUAACAGGCUGAUACCGCCCAAGAGUUCAUAUCGACGGCGGUGUUUGGCACCUCGAUGUCGGCUCAUCACAUCCUGGGGCUGAAGUAGGUCCCAAGGGUAUGGCUGUUCGCCAUUUAAAGUGGUACGCGAGCUGGGUUUAGAACGUCGUGAGACAGUUCGGUCCCUAUCUGCCGUGGGCGCUGGAGAAUUGAGGGGGGCUGCUCCUAGUACGAGAGGACCGGAGUGGACGCAUCACUGGUGUUCGGGUUGUCAUGCCAAUGGCACUGCCCGGUAGCUAAAUGCGGAAAAGAUAAGUGCUGAAAGCAUCUAAGCACGAAACUUGCCCCGAGAUGAGUUCUCCCUGAGACUUUAAGUCUCCUGAAGGAACGUUGAAGACGACGACGUUGAUAGGUCGGGUGUGUAAGCGCAGCGAUGCGUUGAGCUAACCGAUACUAAUGAACCGUGAGGCUUAACCUU
RNAcentral lists this ribosomal RNA (2904 nucleotides) under Enterobacter sp. BWH 39. Its description in RNAcentral is "bacterial LSU rRNA". It matches the Rfam family "Bacterial large subunit ribosomal RNA". Lineage: Bacteria; Pseudomonadati; Pseudomonadota; Gammaproteobacteria; Enterobacterales; Enterobacteriaceae. The record is from RNAcentral.